CACCACAUAAUGCAUAUAUGGAGGUCCUUUGUUGGCUGGCUGAAACGGUGUAUACUGCGCACUUUUUUGUUCUGAGAUAUUUGAGUAAACCAAUAAAAGGAGAACAUUUUGCUUCUCCGAGUUUGUGAACUGAUAGGGAGAUAAUCUCAGAAGUAGUUCGAAGAAUGGCAAAGCGAGCCUUUGAGUGCCAUGCGCUUCCUCUGCUCGAUCAUUCACCAAUGUCUAUGCUUUAAGAUGGUGCUUACCUUUCUGGUUCAGUUGUAUUCUCUGCCAACAUAAGAGUCAAGACUGAUUACACAGGACUGAAGGUGUAUCCAUGGAAAGUCCCAUUCAGCACUCUGUUUUGCCAAUUGCAUCCUUCUCUAUGGUAAAUAGAUUAGCCCGCCUGCAGAUCGCUUUCACAUCUGUCAUGGCCAUCUUCAUUAGCCAAACUCUCCAAUUAGAAAAAGAUGAGCCUCACAAAUAGGGUUUAGAAGGAACAUGUUUCUUACUCUGUCUCUGAGGAAAAAUAAGGUUCAGGUCUUCACUACAGACUCAAGUUAUUAAUUCAGGUUUGCAGUUCAGACACAAGUUAUUAAUUGAGGUUUUCACAACGACAACUAUCAGAUUAAUAGGGUUCCAGAGCAAAAACGACCAAAGAAAUUUACACAGGAAUAGUAGCACUCAUGAUACAAAUAAUAAAAUGAAAAGGGAUUAAUGCGUCAUUGAUAUAUAGCAGCAACUUCCCAUGGACCCAGAUUUAUUGAGAUAUAGCACCACUUGUGGCAAAAUAAAAUAACUGCAACUUAAUAUGGAAGCGGUGGACCCAAAUGAUUUCCCCUGUUUUAUCAUGCAACUGUUGCCAUGGAUUCGGAUUUCAAAGUUUCAUAUUUAUUUAUUUAUUUAUUUAUUUGGCAGAGGUGAAGUGGUGAUUCCAGCGGGUACCAACUACAAUUCCAGAUGCAUGAUGAUCCAUCCUACCAUGCAAAUGAUUAGAGUAUAUAUAUAUAUAUAUAUAUAUAUAUAUAUGCAAGUUGUGUUGUACUUUGUUGAGACCUGAUUUUAAGUUUUUAAUAUAUG
This 1059-nucleotide long non-coding RNA is filed under the name Hordeum vulgare. RNAcentral describes it as "long non-coding RNA (HVUL_LNC008298)". Lineage: Eukaryota; Viridiplantae; Streptophyta; Magnoliopsida; Poales; Poaceae. The record is from RNAcentral.